RNAcentral lists this ribosomal RNA (537 nucleotides) under uncultured bacterium. RNAcentral describes it as "bacterial SSU rRNA". It matches the Rfam family "Bacterial small subunit ribosomal RNA", at positions 102 to 674 of the family's 1533-position model. The record is from RNAcentral.
ACGGGUGAGUAACGCGUGGAUAUCUGCCUUUUGGUUCGGAAUAACCCCGGGAAACUGGGGCUAAUACCGGAUGGUUCCUACGGGAUAAAGAUUUAUCGCCAAAAGAUGAGUCCGCGUACGAUUAGCUAGUUGGUGAGGUAAUGGCUCACCAAGGCGACGAUCGUUAGCUGGUCUGAGAGGACGAUCAGCCACACUGGGACUGAGACACGGCCCAGACUCCUACGGGAGGCAGCAGUGGGGAAUAUUGGACAAUGGGGGCAACCCUGAUCCAGCCAUGCCGCGUGAGUGAUGAAGGCCUUCGGGUUGUAAAGCUCUUUUGGCGGGGACGAUGAUGACGGUACCCGCAGAAUAAGCCCCGGCUAACUUCGUGCCAGCAGCCGCGGUAAGACGAAGGGGGCUAGCGUUGUUCGGAAUUACUGGGCGUAAAGCGAGUGUAGGCGGUUGUUAUAGUCAGGUGUGAAAGCCUUGAGCUCAACUCAAGAAAUGCACUUGAUACUGAACGACUAGAGUACCGGAGAGGAUAGUGGAAUUCCCAGU